UUUCUGUAGGUGAACCUGCGGAAGGAUCAUUACUGAGGUUUGAAUGAAGUUGUUUUGGUCUAUCGGGGCAAGUGAACGCUUCUCCCACUCCAUCUUAUACCUGUGCACCUAUCGGGGAGGCCUACGAUAUAAGUUGGGUCACGCCGGCGAUCUACAGUCUCCUCUUUAUACCAAAUAACAGUUUUAGUAAGUCUUUUUUGCUUGAUGCAAACAUAAAUAAAUAAAACUUUCAGCAACGGAUCUCUUGGCUCUC
This 253-nucleotide unclassified non-coding RNA is filed under the name plant metagenome. RNAcentral describes it as "partial contains small subunit ribosomal RNA, internal transcribed spacer 1, and 5.8S ribosomal RNA". The record is from RNAcentral.